RNAcentral lists this ribosomal RNA (253 nucleotides) under uncultured bacterium. RNAcentral's name for it is "partial 16S ribosomal RNA". It matches the Rfam family "Bacterial small subunit ribosomal RNA", at positions 524 to 776 of the family's 1533-position model. The record is from RNAcentral.
UACGGGGGGGGCAAGCGUUGUUCGGAAUUACUGGGCGUAAAGGGCUUGUAGGUGGCCAACUAAGUCAGACGUGAAAUCCCUCGGCUUAACCGGGGAACUGCGUCUGAUACUGGAUGGCUUGAGUUUGGGAGAGGGAUGCGGAAUUCCAGGUGUAGCGGUGAAAUGCGUAGAUAUCUGGAGGAACACCGGUGGCGAAGGCGGCAUCCUGGACCAAUACUGACACUGAGGAGCGAAAGCCAGGGGAGCAAACGGG